UCUAAGAACAUAUGUGUACACAUGAAUCUGCGAACGGCUCAUUAUUAACACCCGUAAUCUACCCAGUUUUCAUAUCCAAAACGGAUAUCUGCGUUAAUUUUGGAGCUAAUACGUGCACCAACGUACCGCUAGCAAUAGUGGUAUGCACUUGUUAGUUUAAGACCGACUGGGGCAACCCGACUGGUGACUCUGAACAAUUUCUGCGGAUCGCAUGGUCUUGUACCGGCGACGUACUGGUCGAGCGGGUGCCCUAUCAACUAUUGAUGGAAGUCUAUGUGUCUUCCAUGGUUGUAACGGGUAACGGAGAAUCAGGGUUCGACUCCGGAGAGCUAGCCUUAGAAACGGCUAUCACAUCCAAGGAAGGCAGCAGGCGCGUAAAUUACCCACUCUCAAUUCGAGGAGGUAGUGACUAUCAAUAACGAGACAGAUCUCUUUGAGGUCUGUCAUUGAAAUGAGCACAACUUAAAGACUU
Molecule: ribosomal RNA, 472 nt
Filed under: Pristionchus mayeri
Lineage: Eukaryota; Metazoa; Nematoda; Chromadorea; Rhabditida; Neodiplogasteridae
Description: SSU rRNA
Rfam family: Eukaryotic small subunit ribosomal RNA
Source: RNAcentral